GACAGAGCUUGGAAAAUUGGCUGGUCCCUGGCUCAGCCUGGCAAAGGUGUCUAAUCUUCCUACAGGGUCCUGAGCCUGACGGUCUAAAUACCGAAGCCGUUGCCACACCAUCCCACUGACAAGCCACACAGCUGGGAAAUCUGAAAACCCCUUGGAAGAGAGCAUUCAGAGGGGAAGGAAAUGCUGCAUGAAAUAGCAAGAGGGUUUGCCUCCACAUUCCUGCUUGAAUGCCUACCAGACUUCUCUCAAUGAUGGACCAUGGCCUGAGCUGGUAAGUCAGGACCAGCCUUGUCUUGGAGAGGGGUUCUGAGAGAAAGGGUGUUUGAGAGCAGCAAA
This is a long non-coding RNA of Mus musculus (house mouse), 336 nucleotides long. RefSeq annotates it as predicted gene, 40286. The transcript has 3 exons. The record is from RefSeq and is a predicted model, not a curated record. NCBI's taxonomy places the organism in Eukaryota, Metazoa, Chordata, Mammalia, Rodentia, Muridae.